This 119-nucleotide ribosomal RNA is filed under the name Pteropus alecto (black flying fox). Lineage: Eukaryota; Metazoa; Chordata; Mammalia; Chiroptera; Pteropodidae. The record is from RNAcentral.
GUCUACUGCCAUGCCACCCUGAACACGCCCGAUCUCGUCUUAUCUCGGAAGCUAAGCAGUGUCAGGCCUGUUUAGUACUUGGAUGGGAGACCACCUAGGAAGAUCAGGUACUGUAGGCA